CACAGAGAUAGAGGUUGCACGUUCUAUCAGUACCUUUUCAGAUGUAUCAGGAACAGGAGAAGGAAAGGGAAAGGAGAGGGUGCCGAAGGAACAGGAGACCUGAGAUCUUGUCCCUGGGCAUGGGGGUGAAGAACCUCAUGACUGUCAUCGCAAGAUGGAGUGCUAUCCGAAGA
Firmicutes bacterium CAG:646 is the source of this 173-nucleotide regulatory RNA element. It matches the Rfam family "Lysine riboswitch aptamer". From Rfam's summary of the family: Riboswitches are metabolite binding domains within certain messenger RNAs that serve as precision sensors for their corresponding targets. Allosteric rearrangement of mRNA structure is mediated by ligand binding, and this results in modulation of gene expression. The record is from Rfam. NCBI's taxonomy places the organism in Bacteria, Bacillati, Bacillota.